GCUAAAAAUUGCAGAGCGAACUCUACUGAAAGUGGACACACCAAAGGAUGAAAAGCGAAUAAGGAAACCUAAGUGACUAUUCUCUGAUGAAGAUUCAACUGUCACUGGAGAUGAAACAAAUCCUGACAUCCCAGGAAAGGAAACAUCCAAACGCAUGUGGAGGAGGAAAUUCUUUUUGGAGACAGCCGGUUUCCACCAGGAUCCCACAGUCCAGGUGAAUCUCCCAGCGAUGACAAUGCUGCCAAAGUCAGAGACCUUCAGAACCAGGUUAAGGUUCUACAGAGGGAAAACUCAAGGCUGUGCUACUUGGCCAUAAAAGGUCAAAUUGGGGAGUGAUGGAAUAACCAUAUCAACUCACUGUUGGGAGACUGCCAAAUCCCAAAAAACUCCUACUGUGAUGGCUCGAGUGUUGCUGAUGGGUCUGUUCAGUGUUGACAUCCUCAUGAAAUCAAACCUGACUAGAGGGAUGAAUAAGGUGGACCCUGCUGCUGAACGUUGCCAGGCUCUUGACACGAAAAGGCUCCAAGCUUUAGUUGAUGCUGUUGUCAACCACCAUCCUGGGGUGAAGAUUUCUGACAUCAGAAAAGCAAUCAAUGCAAGAAUUUGAAUUUCAACUUGAAAAUGUUUGGAUGGUUGAAAUAGGAGUAUGUUUCAGCAUCAACAGUUGUGUUGAUCGUUUUAUUUUGUCUUUUCUUUUGCUUGUAAUAAAUACUUGUGCUUUUCAUGCCAUGUUCAUGUUUACAUUAUGUACUUUGUGUCACUGUUGGCAAUAAUCCAGUUGUUAAAAGUAAUUUUUAUUGUCUAAAUGAAUAAAAGUUAAGUUUUAUUUUAAAAUCUGUAUCCUCUCAUUUUAUGUAUUGUAUCAAUGUUCAACUGUUAAACAUGUGAUGUGCAGUCUCAAGAUCAUUUG
Molecule: long non-coding RNA, 910 nt
Organism: Archocentrus centrarchus (flier cichlid)
Lineage: Eukaryota; Metazoa; Chordata; Actinopteri; Cichliformes; Cichlidae
Exons: 4
Source: RefSeq, a predicted model, not a curated record